UGGGGAAUAUUGCACAAUGGGGGAAACCCCUGAUGCAGCCCAUGCCGCGUGUGUGAAGAAAGGCCUUCGGUUUGUAAAGCACUUUCAGCGAAGGAAGAAAGGUUGGCGCCUAAUACGUGUCAACUGUGAACGUUACUCCCAAAAAAAACCACCGGCUAACUCCGUGGC
RNAcentral lists this ribosomal RNA (168 nucleotides) under uncultured bacterium. RNAcentral describes it as "partial 16S ribosomal RNA". It matches the Rfam family "Bacterial small subunit ribosomal RNA", at positions 355 to 509 of the family's 1533-position model. The record is from RNAcentral.